This 400-nucleotide ribosomal RNA is filed under the name uncultured bacterium. RNAcentral's name for it is "bacterial SSU rRNA". It matches the Rfam family "Bacterial small subunit ribosomal RNA", at positions 32 to 410 of the family's 1533-position model. The record is from RNAcentral.
AAUCAACGCUGGCGGCGUGCCUCAGACAUGCAAGUCGAACGCGAAAGUCCCCUUCGGGGGACAAGUAGAGUGGCGCACGGGUGAGUAACACGUAGGUAAUCUACCUUCGGAUGGGGAAGUAACAACCGGAAACGGUUGCUAAUACCGCAUAAUGCAGCGGCACCUAAUGGUGACAGUUGUUAAAGCGGGGGAUCGAAAGACCUCGCGUCUGAAGAGGAGCCUGCGGCGGAUUAGCUAGNGGUUAAGGUAAUGGCUUACCAAGGCGACGAUCCGUAGCCGGCCUGAGGAGGGGCGGUCGGCCACACUGACACUGACAUACGGGUCAGACUCCUACGGGAGGCAGCAGUCGGGAAUUUGGCAAUGGGCGAAAGCCUGACCCAGCAACGCCGCGUGAAGGAUG